GAGGGUAUAGCUCAGUGGUAGAGUGUGUGCAUAGCAUGCACAAGGUCCUGGGUUCAAUCCCCAGGACCCCCA
RNAcentral lists this transfer RNA (72 nucleotides) under Camelus ferus (Wild Bactrian camel). It matches the Rfam family "tRNA". Rfam says of the family: Transfer RNA (tRNA) molecules are approximately 80 nucleotides in length. Their secondary structure includes four short double-helical elements and three loops (D, anti-codon, and T loops). The record is from Rfam by way of RNAcentral. Lineage: Eukaryota; Metazoa; Chordata; Mammalia; Artiodactyla; Camelidae.